AACGAACGCUCUCGGCAUGCCUAACACAUGCAAGUCGAACGAGACCUUCGGGUCUAGUGGCGCACGGGUGCGUAACGCGUGGGAACCUGCCCUUAGGUUCGGAAUAACUCCCCGAAAGGGGUGCUAAUACCGGAUAAUGUCUUCGGACCAAAGAUUUAUCGCCUUUGGAUGGGCCCGCGUUGGAUUAGCUAGUUGGUAGGGUAAAAGCCUACCAAGGCGACGAUCCAUAGCUGGUCUGAGAGGAUGAUCAGCCACACUGGGACUGAGACACGGCCCAGACUCCUACGGGAGGCAGCAGUGGGGAAUAUUGGACAAUGGGCGAAAGCCUGAUCCAGCAAUGCCGCGUGAGUGAUGAAGGCCUUAGGGUUGUAAAGCUCUUUUACCCGGGAUGAUAAUGACAGUACCGGGAGAAUAAGCGCCGGCUAACUCCGUG
This 433-nucleotide ribosomal RNA is filed under the name uncultured bacterium. Its description in RNAcentral is "partial 16S ribosomal RNA". It matches the Rfam family "Bacterial small subunit ribosomal RNA", at positions 29 to 507 of the family's 1533-position model. The record is from RNAcentral.